CAGUUUGCUAUUUGUAAUUUUAUCAGGUUGGGGGACGAAACACUGUGCUCGUUGAUGCUGUUCAGAAAAGAAUUCCUCUUGUGACUGAUAGACCUACAAUUAUAUUUGGUGCAAAUGUCACCCAUCCACAACCAGGAGAAGACUCUAGCCCUUCUAUAGCGGCUGUAUGUACACUCGUCUUUUGUUUCUGCUUUCUAGUAAUUCACUCUGUUAAAAGAUUGAAUUGACUGAGACAGGUGGUGGCCUCAAUGGAUUGGCCAGAAGUAGCCAAGUACAGAGGGCUUGUCUCUGCUCAGGCACCCCAUGAGGAAAUUAUCCAAGAUCUCUAUAAAUCUAUUCAAGAUCCUCAAGGGGGUUUAGUUCAUGGAGGAAUGAUCAGGUUAGUAGACAUGGAAGUACAUAUCAGGUGCCUUAAUUAAGAGAAACUUAUGCUUCUGUUUGUCUUUUACAGGGAACUGUUAAUUGCCUUCAGAAGAUCAACCAACUUUAAACCUCACAGGAUUAUUUUCUACCGGUAAUUGCUGUUUUCAAUGUUAAACUGUUUGUUUUGUAGAAUGUUACUGAUGUUGUUUCAUUUAUGUGCCAGAGAUGGUGUUGGUGAAAGGCAGUUCAGUCAGGUUUUGCUCCAUGAAAUGAAUGCUAUCCGACAGGUAAUGCUGAUGAUUCCUGAAGUUAAAAUGAUUUUCUUGUGUUCAAGAGAUUUUCAUUAUCUAGCUUCAGUUAAUGCCUUUAUGAUAGCUUUUGUUGCAACAUGCUAAAUUGAUUUAUUUCCAGGCCUGUGCCUCACUUGAGGAGGGAUAUGCGCCACCAGUUACGUUUGUUGUGGUACAGAAAAGGUGUCGUACUCGCCUUUUUCCUGCUGAGAACAACAGAUGCGAUCUGACAGAUAGGAGUGGAAAUAUUUUACCAGGUUCCAAGUUUGCUUUGUAUUAUUAAUCUUUAUAUCCUAUUUGCUUCUUUUGACUAUUCACAACAGCUGGGAACCAUGUCGUUGCCUAACCUUGUGUUUGACGAUUGUUUUUGGGAUGUCCUUGUGUUAGGAACCGUUGUUGAUACUGAAAUUUGUCAUCCUACAGAAUUCGAUUUUUACCUCAACAGUCAUGCAGCAAUUCAGGUAAAAAAUAAGUUUGCUCUUUCAAUCCAAAUUUUAUCCAUCUAGACUUACUCUCGAUGAACAUUGUACACUUUUUUUUUUUUUUCCACCUAUAAUUUUUAAAUGCGUUGGACUGACUAAGGUGUUUAUUCCAGGGAACCAGUCGACCAACUCGCUACCAUGUAUUGUAUGAUGAGAACCGUUUUACUGCAGAUGGCCUGCAAGUGUUAACAAAUAACUUGUGUUACACGUAAUAUGUUUACCUUCUCUAUAACUGGAUUUAAUAUUGCAUUGUUGAAGAAUUUAUCUUUGGAAUGGUUAUUCUGUAAGUUUUGACUCAUGGCCCAUUUUCAGGUACGCAAGGUGUACUCGAUCAGUUUCCAUAGGUCUGAUCCUCGUACUUCUGUUGCUUUCCUAAAAACAUUUUCAAUCAAUGAAUUAUUUAUUACUCUGGCAAGCAUUGAUUAUUUUUUAAUUUUUAUUGGUUGAUUUCAUAUGGCAGUGCCUCCUGCAUAUUAUGCAUAUUUAGCAGCUUUUCGGGCUCGUUAUUAUAUCGAGGAUGAAACAUCUUCUGGUGGAUCCACAGAUGGGAACAGGAGCACGGCAGAGAGGAAUUUGGCUAUCCGGCCACUUCCCGUCAUCAAGGAUAAUGUGAAAGAUGUAAUGUUUUAUUGCUGAAAGUAGUCUUCAGCCUUUAUCUCUUAUGUCAUGGUUUUCAUAAAGGCUUGACCUAUUUUGGUAGACGGAGAACCAGCGUUUUGCAUUUUUGGACCGUACUGUUAUUUUGGGAGUAGUUUCAAAUUCGACAUCUAGAGUAGAAACUACUUAUCCUCAGCUUAAAAAUAUAAGCCGCAUGUUCUCCCAGUUAAUGCCUUGUCAAUUUAAAUGCAAAACAACUCCAUACAUAUUUUGUCCAUAAGGGUAUUGAACUGUGUAUGCUUCCUUUUUUUCCUUCAAUUACACCUUAUUCCUCCUGGACGGUGGCUUCUGAAUUACUUUCUUUGCUUUUUGAGAGUUAAAGCAAUUCCGUUGCUUCGUCCACUUUAGCCGCCAACGACUCGGGUGAAUCCAGCAACGCCAGCAGCUCGGAGUGAUCCCUUUCCAAAAGCAUCUCAGUAAUCUUUAGUGCGAGAUCAUACUGUCCAACAGUUAAAUGUAAAUAGAACUAAACCAAAGCUCAAAGCAGGUGAAAAUUAUAAGUACAUUUGCAGAAGGUUAAAUUUUAGUUUACUAGAAUGACAAUUUACUAUUUACCUCAAAAAUAUGAAACAUCAAUUUAUUCCCUUUUACGGUUAAGAAGACAAAAGGAAUUCAUUAAUGCAGUAUUCAUCUAUCCUCAUCUUUUGAACGACAAUGAAAGUAAAUUAAAAAUUAUCAUUCUAUCUGGGGGAUAAAUCGAAGUUGACCCUUCGCAGAAUUAAGAUUAAUCACCGUGAGUUUCUUCAUCAGCGGGCAGAGUCUUUAGCCAAGGAUAUUUUUCCUUUGAUCAGGGGAAGCAGCAGCAAGCAUGCUGCUCAAAUAUUCAUUGGAAGCAGCAGCUCUUUGACUCCCAUUUGUCAGGUUGUUGGCAGCAGUUUGCCCGGCCCUCUAAAAUAAUGGUCAUAUGAAGUAAACAGUUAUUAAGAAGCAUUUUGUUUCAAAAAGCAAAUGGAAUACAAUUCAUUUGGUAUCAAGUAGAAAAGGCAAAAAAGGAAAAAAAAUAAUAAUCUUGUACACUCUAAAAUAAUGGAAUACAAUUCAUUUGGUUUCAAAAAGCAAAUGGAAUACAAUUCAUUUGGUAUCAAUUCAUUUAUUUUAGAGUGGCCCUCUAAAAUAAUGGCCACUCUCCCUCUCAAAUCUUGAUCCCUUUUUCCUUUUUACAGAUGCUGUAAGCUACUUUUCAUUUUACUGUUCAAGAGGGGCGGUAAAGCUAGCCGCCCUGCCCUUUUUAUUAUUUAUAUACACGCCCUCUUUUCCUCCCUCCUCCUCUCUGACACUUACUUUCUCCUCAAGCAAUCGCCCUCUCUUACUUUCUCCUCAAGUAAUCCAUCACUUCGGUUCCUCAAAAUUUUUUUCUCUCUCAUUUUACCUUUUUGUUUUCGAUAAUGUCCCGACGUGGCGGCGGUGGUCGUAGGCCGGAUUCUUGCAGUGACCAGCCGGCUCAGGCACCGGCGCCGUCUUUCCAGCGCGGUGGUGGCGAAGCCGCUGGACCACCGGGCCGAGGGCAUCAAGGUCAACGUGGCGGUACUGGUGGUGGAUCGCAUUCUGGUUCCGGUGCAGCCCCUUCCUCAUCACACGCAGCUUCGACUUCGACAGCGCAGGCUCCUUCAUCUCCGUCUGUUUCUGCAUCUGCUCCUUCUUCGUCUUCAGUUUCUACUCUUGUCGACGAAACUGAGCAGAAACUGACAUUGGCGGCACCAGCGGCGGCUACUCUUCCGCCUUCGUCGUCGCAGGCAAUGAGACUUCCGGUGAGGCCGGGAUUGGGAACUGUUGGCAGAAAAUGUGUUGUCAGAGCAAAUCACUUUAUGGUGCAACUUGCCGAGAGAGACAUUCAUCACUAUGAUGUAAGUCCACUUUUAAUUUUAGUUUUGUUAUUUUUGAAAACGUUUUGACUAUUUUUAUUUUUUUUGUUUUCUCGUCAAUUUUGAUUUUAUUUAAGAUUCACCAUUCGUGAGCGUCGACAUCGAAGGUGUCGGGGUUUUGUAGAUAUUUUAAAAGUAUGUUUAUUGUUUUGCUUAUUUAUUUAUUUAUUUUUUAAGGUUUCAAUUACUCCAGAGGUGACGUCAAAAAAGAUCAACAGACAAAUUAUUUCUCAGCUGAUUAAUUUAUAUCGGCUGACUAACUUGGGUGAACGAAUACCUGCCUAUGAUGGUAUGAAGAGCAUUUACACUGCAGGGCCGCUGCCUUUUGAAUCGAAGGAAUUCAUUAUCACGUUACCUGAUAGUGAUCCUCGUCCCAGCUCAUCUACCAGGCCGAGGUAUCUCUUGCUUUUAACACGUGUGUUUCUUGAAUAUGUUGAUUGUGAGUUUUCUUGAUUUAAUGUGUUGAGUGAUUUCUUAUGCAGAAGGGAGCGUCAGUUUAGGGUGGUUAUCAGAUUGGCGUCGAAGCCUGAUCUUUACACUCUACAGCAGUUCUUACUCCGUAGGCAUUUUGACGCACCGUACGAAGUUAUACAAGUGCUUGAUGUUGUUCUCAGAGCAGCUCCAUCAGAGAAGUAUUUAACCUUAACUGUGUUAAUAAAGUUUCACUUUUUGGUGUGUAUGAUAUAGGAUGUUCCCUGCCCAUGCCAGCAUUUGAUUGUUCAUGCAACUGAUUUAACAUUUGAUUUCUGAGUAACAAUUUUAUUAUUGUCUAUUUUGUGUCUUGAACAAUUUGGGUUUUAGAAUAGUUAAUUAAUGAAAUGAUGAACUUCUGCAUCAGGCAUACAGUUGUGGGGAGGUCAUUUUUCUCUACUGAUCUUGGACCAAUGGGUCAGCUUGGUGAUGGCGUUGAAUAUUGGCGUGGAUAUUUUCAGAGUCUUCGCCCAACCCAGAUGGGGCUAUCUCUUAAUAUUGGUAUUUCUCAUUAUAUUUUAUAUAAUUUGAUGCUGCUUAUCUUCUAUAUUAUGCAAGCUUGAUUUUGUUUUAGGUGCAGCACUGCUAUAUAAAUAUUUGCUCUUGCUGUUGCAGAUGUUUCAGCCUGUUCCUUUUAUGAACCAAUUCUAGUUACUGAGUUUGUUCAGAAGUAUUGCAGAGACUUAUCACAUCCUCUUUCUGAUGAAGUGCGUCUGCAGGUAUUGUCUAGUCUUCUUUGGUUAUGUCUUGGUUAUAAUUAAUUUAGUAUCAAUUUAAUGAGCUAUCUAUUAGGCGGUUAAAAGUUUUAAUUGAGGGCUGCAGCCCCCUAAUAUAUUUGUGAUAAGAGCAUUUUCAAAAAAUGAUCACAGAUUUGUUAGGCAAACAGUUCAGUAAUGUUUUGGACGUUGUGAAUAAUUUAUUGAUUCAAUAUUUACUUAGUUUAAUUUUUUUAGUUAACUAAUAAUAUAAAUGUUAGGAUUUAUAUACAUAUAUGCAGACACAUUGAUAGGGAAGAACCCAAAAAUUUUAUCUAGGAGAGGCUUAGUAUGAUACAAUUGCAAAAAAACUUUCAACAAAAAAUGAUAGGUGUCAAAUUAUUGAAUUUCAUUGAAUUACUGAUUUUCAACAUAAUUACGGUUUUUCUCGACUCAUUUGUAGUUUUAUAAAAUUACAUACUAUAAUAACUUCAUUGUCAACUUAAUUAAAAAUUUGAAGUUUGAACUAUAGAUUGUUGUUUGUUAUUUUCAAGUAAUAACUUAAAUUAAUAUAAAUAUUUGAGGCAAACAUAAAAAACUUAUCAUAUAUAGUAAGAAAUCUAGUUGAUCAAAUAAAUCCAACUCAACUAUUUAAAAAGUUAAAGCCGGUGACUUAAAAAAUAUGAUAUUUUUAAAAAAUUAAAGUUAUGAGAUAGACAAUUGUGUCAAUCAAUUAAGUCAUGACUUGAGCACCACUUUCAAGUCCAUAACACAUAACAAACUAAUAAAUGGACUAAAUAUAUAACAUAUUUAAAAGGAAAAUUUAUAAGUCUAGAAGGGGGUUUAAAUUAUUAAAUAGACCAAAUAAUCGUGAAUCGUACUUGGGCCUACUUUUCAUUUUACUGUUCAAGAGGGGCGGUAAAGCUAAGCCACCCUGCCCUUUUUAUUAUUUAUAUACGCGCCCUCUUUUCCUCCCUCCUUCUCCCUGACACUUACUUUAUCCUCAAGUAAUCGCUCUCCCGCUUUAUUUGUGUCACCAUCAUUUCACUUCGGUUCCCCAAAAUUUUCUCUCAUAUAUUUACCUUUCUGCUUUCGACAAUGUCUCGACGUGGUGGCGGUGGUCGUAGGCCGGAUUCUCGCCUUGACCAGCCGACUCAGGCACGGGCGCCGUCAUUCCAGCGGGGUGGCGGCGGAGCCGCUGGACCACGCGGCCGAGGUCGUCAAGGUCAACGUGGGGGUGCUGGUCGUGGAUCGCAUUCCGGCUCCGGUGCAGCCCCGUCCUCACCGCACACCGCUUCGACUUCGACGGAGCCGGCUCCUUCGUCUCCGUCUGUUUCUGCUUCUGCUCCUUCUUCGUCUUCAGUCUCUACUCUUGUCGAAGAAACGGAGCAGAAACUGAUAUUGGCGGCACCAGCGGCGGCUACACUGCGGCCUUCGUCGUCGCGGGCGAGUAGACUUCCCGAGAGGCCGGGAAUCGGAACUGUUGGCACAAAAUGUGUUGUCCGAGCAAAUCACUUUAUGGUACAACUUGCCGAGAGAGACAUUCAUCACUAUGAUGUAAGUCUACUUUUAAUUUUAACUUUGUUAUUUUUUAAAACGUUUUGACUCUUUUUGUUUUUUAUUUUCCGUUUUUCUGGUCAAUUUUGAUUUUAUUUAAGAUUCACCAUUCGUGAGCGUCGAAUUCGAAGAUAUCGGGGUUUUAUUGCUAUUUUAAAAACAUGUUUAUUGUUUUCCUUGUUUAUUUAUUUUUUAAGGUUUCAAUUGAUCAAGUCCAAGAUCUCGAAUCGAAUCGAUAUUCAGAGGUGACGUCAAAAAAAAUCAACAGACAAAUUAUUUCUCAGCUGAUUAAUUUAUAUGGGCUGACUAACUUGGGUGGACGAAUACCUGCCUAUGAUGGUAUGAAGAGCAUUUACACGGCAGGGCCGCUGCCUUUUGUAUCGAAGGAAUUCAUUAUCAAUUUACCUGAUAGUGAUCCUCGUCCCAGCUCGUCUACCAGCCCGGGGUAUCUCAUGCUUUUAACAUGUGUGUUUCUUGAAUAUUGUUGAUUGUGAGUUUUCUUGAUUUAAUGUGUCUGAGUAAUUUCUUAUGCAGAAGGGAGCAUCAGUUUAGGGUGGUUAUCAGAUUGGCAUCGAAGCCUGAUCUUUACACUCUACAGCAGUUCUUACGCCGAAGGCAUUUUGAAGCUCCGUACCAUGUUAUACAAGUGCUUGAUGUUGUUCUCAGAGCAGCUCCAUCAGAGAAGUAUUUAACCUUAACCGUGUUAAUAAAAGUUUCACUUUUUGGUUUGUUUGAUAUAGGAUGUUGCCUGCCCAUGCCGGCAUUUGCUUGUUCAUGCAACUGAUUUAGCAUUUUAUUUCUGAGGAAAAAUUUUAAUAUUGUCUAUUUUAUGUCUUGAACAAUUUAGGUUUUAGAUUGAUUAAUUAAUGAAAUGAUGAACUUCUGCAUCAGGCAUACAGUUCUGGGAAGGUCAUUUUUCUCAACUGAUCUUGGACCAAUGGGUCAGCUUGGUGAUGACGUUGAGUAUUGGCGUGGAUAUUUUCAGAGUCUUCGCCCAACCCAGAUGGGGCUAUCUCUUAAUAUUGGUAUUUCUCAUUAUAUUUUAUAUAAUUUGAUGCUGCUUCUCUUUUAUAUUAUGCAAACUUGAUUUUCUUUUUCGGUGCAACGUUGCUACAUAAAUAUUUGCUUUUGCUGUUGCAGAUGUUUCAGCCAGCUCCUUUUAUAAGCCAAUUCUAGUUACUGAGUUUGUUCAGUAUUAUUGCAGCGACUUAUCACGUCCUCUUUCUGAUCAAGUGCGUCUCAAGGUAUUGUCUAGUCUUCUUUCGUGAUGUCAUGGUUAUAAUUAAUUUAGUAUCAAUUUAAUGAGCUAUCUAUUGGGCGGUUAAAAGUUUUAAUUAAGGGCUGCAGCACUGUAAUAUAUUUGUGAUAAGAGCCUUUUCAAAGAAUGAUCACAGAUUUGUUAGGCAAACCGUUCAGUAAUGUUUUAGAUGCUGUGUAUAAUUUAUUGCAAGUAAUUAGUAGUUUAAAAUUUCAAAUUUCUUGCAAAUUUUGGAUAGGGUAAUUUCUUAAUUUGUGGCUGAACUGGUGGGUGGUGAGUAGUGUCUGUUGUUCUCGGCCAUUGAAAUCUAAAUAGAAUGAGCUCCCAAGUCUAGGGGGAAUAGAAUGUUGAUGACAGUGUUUGAUGAUUAAUGUAGGAAGUUGGUGUAUAAUUUGGCCUAUAAUUCUGAUGAUAAAGAAAUGAGAUCUUGAAAUGGCGGUUUUAAAAAUCUUCCACGCAUUCAUUUGCAAUUGUACAGUUAUCUUGAUCAACUUAUUAUCAUUCCGCUACGUAUAUUAGCAAUCUUUUGAACUAUCUGUAAACUUUUUACUUUCGAUCUAUUUUGGCCGCUAUUUGACAACUGCCCUUUAAUUAUUUUCAAAAUUAUUGCUGGGAAUUGGAUAGAGACACGUGCUCAAUGAUAUUAAUAUAAUUGUUUAAUUCUUGACUUCUAGGUGAAAAAGGCAUUGAAGGGAAUAAAGGUAGUGCUCAGGCAUAUGGGGUACAACUUAAGUUGCAAGAUCACUGGAAUAACCAGUCAACCGAUGAGCCAAGUAAUGUAUGUGUGUGUGUAAUUAACUGAUAUACAAGUGUAAGAACACUGUCCAACUUGUGGUGAUAGAGUGUGAUAACAUAACUUGGUGGUUUGGUUGUGUUUAUGUUGGUCGAUUUGUUUAUGUUAGCUGAUUCUUGAGUCCCCCACGCCAUUUGAGAAGCAUACUUUAUGUUGCCUGCUUUUGUCGUCAUCUGAAAUCCACAUAUGGUUAAAUUUGUCUUCUGUGUUGUAUUUUAUGUAUGAUUGAACUACUUGGUGGUAAAAAGUUUGGCGGAUGUGUCUCAAAUCAAUUUCUCAAAUCUGAUAUGUGAUAGUAGUUGGCUACUAUGUAGUGCGAUGGUCACUUGAUAUUGCGUGUAACAGUGAUGUAUCCCUCCUUCCAUGUUAUAGUAGGCAUUCACGUUAUAUCUUCCCUUUGAUUGUAUUUGCUAGGUUUACUUCUGACAAUGAGACAAGGUCGGUGGUUCAAUAUUUUCUUGAAAAACAUAAAAUUGCGCUUCAAUUCACGUCAUUGCCUGCCCUUGAAGCUGGAACUGAAGAGAGGCGCAUUUAUUUGCCAAUGGAGGUUCUAUGAUCAAAAGACUACUUUCAUUCUUUGUGUCUGGAAAAUAAUUUAUUUAAGACUUAUUUAUAGAAUAUUUUUGUUUCCAGCUUUCUAGGAUUGUCGAGGGACAGAGAUAUACUAAAAGAUUAAAUGAAAGACAAGUAACUGCUCUUUUAAGAGCAACUUGUCAGCGUCCUCGGGAUCGUGAAGCAAAUAUACAGACGGUAGAGCAUUGUUGUAAUUUCUUACAUCUGUGGUGGAUCUUUUUUGGAUGAUUAAUCUGGGAGCUAUCUUCUUGUGAACAAAGAGAGUUUCUGAUUCUUGCUUCUGGGUUUGACAUUCUUCUGCAGAUGGCUAGGAAAAAUGCUUACAAUGAAGAUACUCUUGUGAACAAGAAGUUUGGAAUUCAAGUGGCUGAUGGUCUUACAUCGUUUGAUGCUCGAAUCCUACCUGCUCCAAUAGUAAUUAUGUGUCAUUUUGUUUUAUUUGUAACAGGAUUGUGGUACUUCCAAUCUCCUUGUGCUUAACUUUACCUCCUGUAAUGCUGCAGCUUAAAUAUCAUGAAUCUGGCAGAGAAGCAAGCGUGAAUCCUGAUUUUGGGCAAUGGAACAUGAUUAACAAGGUGAAUUACUGAUUAUUAUUUUAUUCCGUAGUUGUUGAUUUGUGCUUAGGAAGAGCAUACGGAAGCGGUUACCACUUGUUUAAUCUGGUUGAGGGAUGUUUAUUGACUGAUGGGUAGGAUGGGUUGGAAGUUGAUUUGCUACAUUUGAUGCAAUGUGGAUGUGCUGCAUUUCUUUUGCAACCAUAAUUUUUUAUUUUUUUUUUCCGUUUUAGCAUGCUGUAAUUUCUAUUUAGUUAUAUACUUUUUCAUCUUUGACAAGCAUUGUAUCUGAUAUUCACUUAGGUAUUCGGAUUGUAUGUGCUUGGUGUUCAGCUCAAUCCACUUUGCCUUCUGAAUGGGAAGUAUUUUUUUGUUCACACUGAAUUAUUUUGUGUAAUUUUGGUUGUACAGAAAAUGUUCAAUGGUGGGACAGUGCAAGUUUGGACUUGUAUGAACUUCUCAACGUGUUUGAACCAGGAUGUGAUCGUGUUCUGUCAACGGUUGGUAGACAUGUGCAAUAGAAAGGGAAUGGUAUGGUAAUGUUAAUGGUAUGGUAAUGUUAUUUGUUUUGCAAUUCAUGUUAGCAAUUUAGGUUAAUGGUCUCUCUGAACCGACUUUUUUCUUUUGGGGGGUCCGUGUUUAUCAUGCCAGGUAUUUAACUGCCGGCCUGUCAUUCCCAUAAGUUCAUACAACCCAUAUCAAAUUGAGAAGGCACUUGUAGACGUUCACAAUAAGACUACACAGCCAGGGAAACAGCUUCAGCUGUUGAUAAUUAUUUUACCAGAUGUUAGCGGAUCAUAUGGUGAGUGAUAAAUUUAAUCAAGGAUUAAACUUUAAUGUCAGCUUUGGUUUUGUUCAACAUUAUCGGCUUUCUGCUCGCAGGAAGAAUUAAGCGAGUUUGUGAAACGGAACUUGGGAUUGUUUCACAAUGCUGUCAGCCUAAGCACGCAUCCAGUUGCAACAUGCAGUAUUUUGAAAAUGUGGCUCUUAAAAUCAAUGUGAAGGUUUGCUUUGCCCCCAUUUUUUUGCGUGUUCAUUAUCAUGGUUAAUAUUUGAGAACCAAUACAAGGGUUGGCAGGAAAACAUGUAGGAGAUGAUUUUUUUUUUUUUUUGGCAAUUUAAUUUCAGUCUUGAUUUGCUGGAAUUAUUGUAUUUUUUUUGUUCAAAUAAUCAAAUUCUGAUGUUCAAGAUAUUUUUAUAAGUGUUUGGGAGUGCCAAAAUUUCUUGUUAAAAUUGAUAGGUUUGCUUAUUGGUACUGGGGAUUCAGUUUGCUAUUUGUAAUUUUAUCAGGUUGGAGGACGAAACACUGUGCUCGAUGAUGCUGUUCAGAAAAGAAUUCCUCUUGUGACUGAUAAACCUACAAUUAUAUUUGGUGCAGAUGUCACCCAUCCACAACCAGGAGAAGACUCUAGCCCUUCAAUAGCGGCCGUAUGUGCACUGAUUUUCUGUUUCUGCUUUCUAGUAAUUCACUCUGUUAAAAGAUUGAAUUGACUGAGAUAGGUGGUGGCCUCAAUGGAUUGGCCAGAAAUAACCAAGUACAGAGGACUUGUCUCUGCUCAGGCACAUAAUCAGGAAAUUAUCCAAGAUCUCUAUAAAUCUAUUAAAGAUCCUCAGAGGGGUUCAGUUCAUGGAGGGAUGAUCCGGUUAGUAGACAUGGAAGUACAUAUCAGGUGCCUUAUUAUUAAGAGAACCUUAUGCUUCUGUUUGUCUUUUACAGGGAACUGUUAAUUGCCUUCAAAAUAUCAACCAACCGUAAACCUGAGAGUAUUAUUUUCUACCGGUAAUGGUUGUUUUCAAUGUUAAACUGCAUGUUUUGUAGAAUGUUACUGAUGUUGUUUCAUUUAUGUGCCAGAGAUGGUGUUAGUGAAGGGCAGUUCAGUCAGGUUUUACUCCAUGAAAUGAAUGCUAUCCGGGAGGUAAUGCUGAUGAGUCCUGAAGUUAAUACAAUUUUCUUGUGUUCUAGAGAUUUUCAAUAUCUAGUUUCAGUUAAUUUCUUGUUGAUGACUUUUGUUGCAACAUGCUAAAUUGACUUAUCUCCAGGCCUGUGCCUCACUUGAGGAGGGAUAUGCGCCACCAGUUACGUUUGUUGUGGUACAGAAAAGGCAUCAUACUCGCCUUUUUCCUGGUGAUCACAACAGACGCGAUCUGACAGAUAGGAGUGGAAAUAUUUUACCAGGUUCCAAGUUAUCUUUGUAUUAUUAAUCUUUAUUUUCUAUUUGCGUCUUUUGAGUAUGCAUAAUGGCUGGGAACCAUGUUGUUGCUUAACCUUGUCUUUGAUGAAUAUUUUUGGGAUGUCCCUGUGUUAGGAACUGUUGUUGAUACUCAUAUUUGUCACCCUACAGAAUUUGAUUUUUACCUCAACAGCCAUGCAGGAAUUCAGGUUAAAAAAAAAAAUUAAGUUUGCUAUUUCAAUCCAGGUUAAAAAAAUAAAACAAUGUCCCCCCCCCCCCCCCCUCUUGAAUUUUUAAAUGUGUUGGACUGAUUAAGGUGUUUAUUCCAGGGAACCAGUCGCCCAACUCACUACCAUGUAUUGUAUGAUGAGAACCAUUUUACUGCAGAUGACUUGCAAUUGUUAACAAAUAACUUGUGUUACACGUAAUAUGUUUACCUUCUCUAUAAUGGGAUUUAAUAUUGCAUUGUUGAAGAAUUUAUCUUUCGAGUGGUUAUUUUGUAAGUUUUUGACUCGUGGCCCAUUUUCAGGUAUGCAAGGUGUACUCGAUCAGUUUCAAUAGGUCUGACCCUUGUACUUCUAUUGUUUUACUAAAAAUAUUGCUAGCAUUGAUUGAUUUUUUUUUUCUUUUUAUUUUUUGUAUUGGCUGUUUUCAUAUGGCAGUGCCUCCUGCAUACUAUGCACAUUUAGCAGCUUUUCGGGCUCGUUUUUAUAUCGAGGAUGAAACAUCUGCGGGUGGAUCCACAGGAGGGACUAGGAGCACGGCGGAGGGGAGUUUGGCUAUCCGGCCUCUUCCCGUCAUCAAGGAUAAUGUGAAAGAUGUAAUGUUUUACUGCUGAAAGUAGUCUCCAGCAUCAAUCCUCUUUGUCAUGGUUUUCAUCAAGGCUUGACGUGUUUUGGUAUAUGGAGUACAGCGUGGUGCCGUUUUUGGACAGUACUGUUAUUUUGGGAGUAGUUUCAAAUUGGACAUCAAGGGUAGAAACUGAUUCUCCUUAUGUUAAAAAUGUUAGCUGCAUAUUGUCCUGGUUAAUGCUGGUUAAUGCCUUGUAAAUUUAAAUGCCAAAAAACUUCAUUUCUUGGUGGGGUUAUUUGAUCUCACUGCACGCUUUUUUAAAUUAACAUUUUUGGACAGUGCUGAUUAUCUCACUGCACUCUUUUUUCAAUUAACAUUUUUAUUCUGAAAACAUAAUUGGAUCAAUUAUAUAUUUGAUCUUAUUUUCUCUCUCGAUCUCUUUCCCUUAACCAAAAUUUAUUGUAAUAUGUGAAGUAAGUAUUGAAUUUUCUAAUUAUUCAAAAAGUAAUAAAUUCAGCUCAAUGGUAAUUAGAAACAAGAUGAAAGAGACAAUGUUAAUCAUUUAGAAAUAAAAAAUAAGAGUUUUUAGACUGUUCUAAAUUUGUUAGAAUUUUGAGAAAGAUGAAGUUGAUUUUGGAGAGAAUAAAAUUGAAAAGUAGUUUAAGCUUUGAUCAUUUCUACAGUAGACAGAAAAAUUAGAGCCAAUUUGGGAUUGCGAAGGCAUAUGAAAUAAGCAGCUUAUGUGUUGUGCAGGUGAAAUAAGUUGUUGAUAAAAAAAGUAGUUUAGUGUUUGGAAAACUGUAUUGUUGUGGUUGCUAAGAAUUUGAAUAGUACAGUACAUGUGUUUGGUAAAUUAUAUUACGAAAGUAUUGUUUUAUUAUAUAAUGAGCAAAAUAGAUACAAGUUUUAAUUACUUUUUAUUUUUAAAGUAUGUUUAAUAGAUUAUUUAUACAUAUCUUUUUUCUUAUUGUUUUAUAUAUAAUGACUAAGAUAGACAUAAAUUUUAAUUACUUUUUAUUUUUAAAGUAUAUUUAAUAAAUUAUUGAGACAUAUCUUUUUUUCUUAAAUGCAUAAAAUUACAUUAAAAAACUCAAUUAAAAAAAUCUAUAGAACUUCAUAAUUUAUUACAAAAAAAAUAUGAUAAAAAUAAAGUUAUGAUUCAUAUAUUAGGGUUUAUAGAUAAAUAAAAUAUAAUUGUCUUUUUAUUAAAUUCUAGGGUUAUAAUAGGAAAUUUAAAAAGGUAUGGUAACUUAUUAAAUAAGCUGUUUAUAAAAAGUAAUUUGUUACCUGCUUUUAAAAGUUGCUGACAAAAUGGAAAAAAUUAUGAAAUAAGUUGAUUUUAUAAAAUUUUACAAACAUUAUUUUUAUUAAAAAUUAUGAAAUAAGCAGUUUAUUAAAUUUCAACUACAAUUCUAAACUGACCCUUGGUUAAUCAAAUAUUUUUUGUGACUUUUGAGAAUUAGUGAAUUAAAAUAAUAAAUUAUCAUAAAAAAAUGAUUUUUAGAAGGAAAAUCAACGUUUGCCUCAAUUGUUUGAUGAGGCGAAUGAUGCAUGUAUACGGUUGGGUACAUGCAGUUGUUUUUAACUAAGAUGUAUAAAUAGAUGAACAAAUACUGCAAAAGCGAAAGUAUUUAAUUAAAAAAUGUCAUAAAAAUUUCUUCAAAGCCGGUGAUCGUACUACAAGUACAUUUAAGCAGUCAGCAAGAGUAUUGAACUGUGUAUGCUUCCUUUUUUCAUUUCAAUUACCCGUUAUUCUUCUUGUACGGUGGCUUCUGAAUUACUUUCUUUACUUUUUGAGAGCUCAAGCAAUUCCGUUGCUUCUUCCACUUUUGCAGCCAAUGACUCAAAGUGAAUCCAACAGCACGAUCAUCUCGGAGAGAUCCAUUUCCAAAAUCAUCUCAGUAAUCUUUGGUGAAAGAUCACACUGUCCAAAAGUUACUUACAUGUAAAUAUCAUUAAACCAAAGCUUAAAGCAGGUGAAAAUUGUGAGUACAUUCGCAGAAGGUUAAAACUUCAAUUUACUCCCUUAUUUUAAAAGACAACCUACUACUUACCUCAAAAAUAUAAAAACAUCAAUUGAUGUCUUUUAUUAUUAAAAAGACAAAAAAAAAUAUUAUCAACACACUUUUCGUUUGUCCUAAUCUUUUGAACGAAAAUGAAAAUAAACUGAAGAUUAUCAUUUUACCCGAAGAUGAAUCAAAAUUGACCCUUCACAAAAAAAUAUGAGCAAUCACCUUGAGUUUCUUCACCAGCGGGUAGAGUCUUCGGCCAAGAAUAUCUUUCCUUUCAUUAGGGGAAGCAGCAGCAAGCAUGCUGCUCAAAUUUUCAUUGUAAGCAGCAGCUCUUUAAUUCCCAUUUGUCAGCUCUUUGAUUCCCAUUGGAAAAUUUAGCAUUGCCCAUUCAUCCUUCCUCCUCUAUAUUGCCUUACAGAAUUAGGAGCCUGUAAUACAAAAUUUUUAAUCCCAAAGUUAAGCAGAAGCGCAACAAUUCCAAAUACAUCCUAAACUUGAUUUUACGUUACCAUUAGAAACAAAGGAGAAGGAGGAGGAGGAGAAAAUCCAUUAGGAAUCAUGCCACCAUGCCUGAACCCUGGUGCUUGGUACACUUGUAAUGCACGUUGAUAAAGGGUCGGAUGCAUAGGAAAAAUGGUGCUACCAAGUCCUGGCCCUUGCUUUGCAUACAUCAUUCGUAGGUACGAAGUUCUUUCUCGCUUUGUUUGAGCAAUGGCCACAUACAAUGGCUUUUGAUGAAACAAGAUGCCAUUCAGAGUAUUUAUGGCUCGAUUGGCUUCAUCAGGAUUAGAGAAACACACAAAUCCGAACCCUUUGCUAAUACCUCGAUUAGUUCUCAUGAUCUUAACAGAGCUGAUAAUGCCACACUGGCUAAAAUAUUGUUUCAAUUCAAUUUCGUCAACGUCAUCAUUUAUGUUCUUCACAUACAAAUUUUUAUCCUACAAUUGACAAACAUCUUGAUUUUAGCAGGAUUUAACAAACGAAAAUAACGAUAUUAAUUAAGAGAGCAAAUAACCAAAAAAAAAAAAAACACCUUGUAUAAUUCAGCACGCUCUUUGCGCAUUCUCUCAAAUUAAGCGCGUAAAAUCGCCUUUCGUUCAGCUUUCUUCUGUGCAUUGUGUCUUUGGCUCUUUUAACAUCAUCUGGAUUUUCAAAAUUCACAAAACCAAAACCCUUUGAUGUCCCGUUAGCAUCUUUUGAGAUAACCAAACUUAUUAAUAUUUUUCCAAACUCGAAGAAUUUCUCUACCAAAAUCUCCUCAGUCACAUCAUCAUCUAAAUUCUUGACGUACAGGUUGUUAAAAAAAGCACUUUCUUGAAUCCCCCCAGCCCUUCUGAUGAAUGGACCAACAUAGCUGCCAAUUAAUGCCAGUGAACAUUAUUAAUGCGACAAAUAGUAGAUAAAUUAGCAUAUAUACAAAGAUGACACAUACAACUGUGGCUGGAUCCAAUAACUAAUUGCACCAUUGUUUUGCCCCUUUUAUAGAAUGUAAAAUUAAAAUUUACUAUUAAAAUUGUCAAAAACCACCAACAAAGUGUUGGCUCCACUGGCAAUGGAGUCCCCUUAAGUGACUUGACUGGGUUUGCUCCCUAGUUCGAGUCGCAGGGAAGUCGCCUUUGUUGGGAGAACCUGUGCCUCCCGGUUCGAGCGGGGACUUCUAGUCUGGGUUGUGGUACGGGCUUAAAGGUGCCUCCCACAGUUGGGGCCCUCCCCAGGAUACCUCGUGAUUAAUAUCAAAAAAAUUGUCAAAAACCAUUACGUGUGGCAAUAUUCAAAUCCGAAUUUAAAUCUGCAUUGAAAUUUUGAGAUAUGGAUCCACAUUUUUUUUUUAUUGGAUCUGAUUAAAGGAAAUAUUCGUAAAGAUUGCAGGCAUAUAUUUUGCAUAUCUAGAUUCGCAUGAUUCAAAAUUCAUAUAUAAUUUAAAAUUUAACAAAUUUGCCUAAUAAAAUCCAAUUAUAAUUGAACGAUCAACAAUUCAACACCUAGAAUAACAUUCAACAAUAUUAAAUUCAUAAAUAAAAAUACCAUAAAAUAAAUCAAACAUCAAAAAUAACAUAAAUUUAAGUCUAACACCACUACAAAUCCAUAAAUACGAACACCACAAGUCCACUUAGAUUCAAUUUAAAACCAUCACAAAUAAAAACACCACAACAAAUCUACACAAGUUUGAUUUUUUUAAAUUUAACAUAUAUUUUUUAUUCAAUUUUAAUGUAAUAAAUAAUUUAAUUAAAAAAUAAUGUGGAUCCAAAUAUUCAAUUUUCUGGAUGCAUUUGCAUCCGAAUCCGUACAUAUUUAUUUUUUGGCAUCCUAAUCUAUACUUUUCAAUAUGUGGAUCCAAAUCUUUACAAAUCUGGGUCGGAUCUAGAUUUUUUUACGAUCCCUACAAACAAUUACCAUGUUUGAUAGGUUAAAAAAAUAUAGGCACACGUUAGACAAUAGUAUAAAGUUAAGAGUAUUGGACUAUUCUUUUUAAAAUUAAAUCAGUCUUUUGUUUGGUGCUGCAAAGAUAAGUGAGGAUUAUGUACCUUAAGACCACACCAUUUAAUCUUGGACACAUACUUUUAUAAAGUAGAAUGAAAAAUUUUCCCAUAGGGACCCUAGGGAUAAUGUGGGAUAAUUUUUUUCAUGCCUAAAAAUAAUUGUAGAAUAACUACACAAUGAAAUAUCUAUAUCUAUUAUUACAUUAUAUUACAUUGAUUAAAUAUGUAUUUACUUCAAUAUUCAUUUUACUUAAAUAAUAAUAAAAAUGUUAGAAUUUAUAUUUUGUGUGUUUGUGUGUGUGUUUGUAUGUAUAUACAUACAUAUACACACAUAAAUGAUCAAUUACACACAUUAUUGUACGCGACGAGCCAUGUGUCAUUUAAUGAUUAGUUGUGUCGCACAUCUAAUUAUGUGUGUGCAUUAUAAUAUUAAUAAUAAUAAAAUAAAAACAACUUAAAUUAAUAUUCAGGUUUUUAAUUUAAUAUUUCGAAUAUUCGUAUUAUUAAAUUUAUAUUUAUAAAUUUACUCUUAUAAAUAAAAUACUUUUAAAUAUUUAAUAAUUAAUAAAUCAAUAGUAAUAUACUUUAUUUUCUUAUAAACUGUUUUAGUAAAAUCCUACAUAGUAUACCAAACAUGAGAUAAUAUUAAAUAUAAAUCCAGCCCAAUCUUAUUUUAUCCUACUAAACCCAAUAUAUUAUUACCCAUAAUCCAUCUUAUAAAAAAAAAAGUAAUUUAAGUUCUCGUGCUGACCGGAGGGAAACCUGAAAGGCGGAAAGCCUAGCUAUAGGGGUGUUCAGAAUCUAUUCCAAUCCGCUCAACCCGUCUGAUCCGUAAAAAUUUGAUCCGUGGAUUGGUGAAUUGGAUUGGAUUGAAAAUUUGAUAAUCUGCAAUCGGUGGAUUGGAUAUGAAUCUACUUCUAUAAAUCCGCAAAAAUCCGCGAAUCCGUAAAAAAAUAAAGAGUAUUUAUUUAAUUAAAAAAACUUGUAAAUAUGACAUUAUUACUUACUAGUAAAUAAAUAAGUUAAAAUAUAGUUAUAUUAACACUAUAUUAUAUCUUAUCCGAUGAUAAUAAAAAAUAAAAAAUAAACAAAUAAAUAAAUAAAUAAAGCUUCUUAAAUAGUUAAUUUCCAUGUGCUGAUAUAAACUAAUGAGAUUUUUUUCGUUUUGGUGUGUUAUAUUUUGAAACUUUAAAUGUAUUUUCUACCUUUAUUUAAACAGUUAAUUUAUGUAAAUCUUAUUUGAUUUUAAAUUUCAUCUGUAGUAAAAUUAUUUUUAUAUUAAUUUUUUUUAUUUAGUUAGUUUGUGGAUUUGACAAAAUUUAAAAUUUUUAGUCCGCAAAAUAAUAGAUUAGAUAUGGAUUAGGUCAAAUCCGCAUCCGAUCCACAGAUAUAUGGAUUGGAUUUGAAUUAAAUUUCACCAAUCCGUGGAUUGAAUUAGAUUAAAAAUUUAUAAUCUACAAAAUCAUGAAUCGGAUAUAAAUUAAUGGCCAAUCCAUAAAAUUCGAUUUGCGAACACUCCUACCUAGCUGAAGCUCUUACCUCAAUUUCCAGUUGAAAAUUAAUAAUUAAUAAUCACUAAUAAAAAAUUAAAGAUGAACGCUCACUAAUUAAUAAGUAAUUUAAGUUCCUUUUUAUUAUUUAUAGGGAAAUUUACACUAGUCUACCUGUUUGUUUUGCCUUUUUUAAAAAUACACAAAUAUUUUUUUUUUCAGUGCGCCACCUGAAGUUUGCUUUUUGUUGCAUUUUUCCACUUCCGUCUAAUUUCCGUUAGUGGAUUUAACGGAAUGUUAACGAAAUGACCUUUUUACCCCUCAAAAUUACAAUUUAACCUAAAAUAAAUGGAAAUUUGAGAUAAAUUGGAUGUAUUUAAAUUUUUUCAAAGGUGGAUGCUAGAAAUUGGAGGAAAAUAGUGUUUGUUGCUUGCUAAAUUUAGAAAAUUUGUAUUUAUUUUCUAAAUUUAGCAAGCAACAAACAUUAUUUUCCUCCAAUUUCUAACAUCCACCUUUGAAAAAAUUUAAAUCCAUCCAAUUUAUCUCCAAUUUUUAUUUAUUUUGGGUUAAAUUAUAAUUUUGAAGGGUAAAAAGGUCAUUUUGUUAAAUUUACUAACGAAAAUUAGACGAAAGUGGAAGAAUGUAACAAAGAGUGAAUUUGAGGUGGCGCGCUGAAAAAAAAAAAAAAGUAUUUGUGUAUUUAAAAAAAAGAUAAAAUAAACAUGUGGACGGUUGUAAAUUUUCUUUAUUUAUAUACACUUCCCAUCUUCCUCUCUCCUUCUCUCUGUUUCUUCUUAAGUCGUCGCUCUCUCGCUUUAUUUGUGUGACCAUCACUUCAAUUCGGUUCCUCAAAAUUUCCUUUCAUUUUACCUUUCUGCUUUCGACAAUGUCUCGACGUGGUGGCGGUGGUCGUAGGCCGGAUUCUCGCCGUGACCAGCCGACUCAGGCACGGGCGCCGUCAUUCCAGCGGGGUGGCGGCGGAGCCGCUGGACCACGCGGCCGAGGUCGUCAAGGUCAACGAGGGGGUGCUGGUCGUGGAUCGCAUUCCGGCUCCGGUGCAGCCCCGUCCUCACCGCACACCGCUUCGACUUCGACGGAGCCGGCUCCUUCGUCUCCGUCUGUUUCUGCUUCUGCUCCUUCUUCGUCUUCAGUCUCUACUCUUGUCGAAGAAACGGAGCAGAAACUGACAUUGGCGGCACCAGCGGCGGCUACACUUCCGCCUUCGUCGUCGCGGGCGGUGAGACUUCCAGUGAGGCCGGGAUUCGGAACCCGUGGCAGAAAAUGUGUUGUCCGAGCAAAUCACUUUAUGGUGCAACUUGCCAAGAGAGACAUUCAUCACUAUGAUGUAAGUCUACUUUUAAUUUUAACUUCGUUAUUUUUGAAAACGUUUUGACUCUUUUUAUUUUUUAUUUUCCAUUUUUCUCGUCAAUUAAGGUUUCAAUUGACCCAGAGGUGACGUCACAAAAGAUCAACAGACAAAUUAUUUCUCAGCUGAUUAAUUUAUAUCGGCUGACUAACUUGGGUGAACGAAUACCUGCCUAUGAUGGUAUGAAGAGCAUUUACACUGCAGGGCCGCUGCCUUUUGAAUCGAAGGAAUUCAUUAUCACGUUACCUGAUAGUGAUCCUCGUCCCAGCUCAUCUGCCAGCCCGGGGUAUCUCAUGCUUUUAACACGUGUGUUUCUUGAAUAUUGUUGAUUGUGAGUUUUCUUGAUUUAAUGUGUCGAGUGAUUUCUUAUGCAGAACGGAGCGUCAGUUUAGGGUGGUUAUCAGAUUGGCGUCGCAGCCUUAUGUUUACACUCUACAGAAGUUCAUACAAGUGCUUGAUGUUGUUCUCAGAGCAGCUCCAUCAGAGAAGUAUUUAACCUUAACUGUGUUAAUAAAAGUUUCACUUUUUGGUAUGUAUGAUAUAGGAUGUUCCGUGCCCAUGCCAGCAUUUGCUUGUUCAUGCAACUGAUUGAGCAUUUGAUUUCUGAGGAACAAUUUUAUUAUUGUCUAUUUUGUGCCUUGAACAAUUUAGGUUUUAGAAUGGUUAAUUAAUGAAAUGAUGAACUUCUGCAUCAGGCAUACAGUUGUGGGAAGGUCAUUUUUCUCAACUGAUCUUGGACCAAUGGGUCAGCUUGGUGAUGGCAUUGAAUAUUGGCGUGGAUAUUUUCAGAGUCUUCGCCCAACCCAAUUUGGGCUAUCUCUUAAUAUUGGUUUUUCUCAUUAUAUUUUAUAUAAUUUGAUGCUGCUUAUCUUUAUAUUAUCCAAGCUUGAUUUUUUCUUUUUUAGGUGCAGCACUGCUACAUAAAUAUUUGCUUUUGCUGUUGCAGAUGUUUCAGCCAGCUCCUUUUAUAAGCCAAUUCUAGUUACUGAGUUUGUUCAGUAUUAUUGCAGCGACUUAUCACGUCCUCUUUCUGAUCAAGUGCGUCUCAAGGUAUUGUCUAGUCUUCUUUCGUGAUGUCAUGGUUAUAAUUAAUUUAGUAUCAAUUUAAUGAGCUAUCUAUUGGGCGGUUAAAAGUUUUAAUUGAGGGCUGCAGCACUGUAAUAUAUUUGUGAUAAGAGCCUUUUCAAAGAAUGAUCACAGAUUUGUUAGGCAAACCGUUCAGUAAUGUUUUAGAUGCUGUGUAUAAUUUAUUGCAAGUAAUUAGUAGUUUAAAAUUUCAAAUUUCUUGCAAAUUUUGGAUAGGGUAAUUUCUUAAUUUGUGGCUGAACUGGUGGGUAGUGAGUAGUGUCUGUUGUUCUUGGCCAUUGAAAUCUAAAUAGAAUGAGCUCCCAAGUCUGAGGGGAAUAGAAUGUUGAUGACAGGGUUUGAUGAUCAAUGUAGGAAGUUGGUGUAUAAUUUGGCCUACAAUUCUGAUGAUAAAGAAAUGAGAUCUUGAAAUGGCGGUUUUAAAAAUCUUCCACGCAUUCAUUUGCAAUUGUACAGUUAUCUUGAUCAACUUAUUAUCAUUCCGUUACGUAUAUUAGCAAUCUUUUGAACUAUCUGUAAAAUUUUUACUUUCGAUCUAUUUUGGCCGCUAUUUGACAACCGCCCUUUAAUUAUUUUCAAAAUUAUUGCUGGGAAUGGGAUAGAGACAUGUGCUCAAUGAUAUUAAUAUAAUUGUUUAAUUCUUGACUUCUAGGUGAAAAAGGCAUUGAAGGGAAUAAAGGUAGUGCUCAGGCAUAUGGGGUACAACUUAAGUUGCAAGAUCACUGGAAUAACCAGUCAACCGAUGAGCCAAGUAAUGUAUGUGUGUGUGUAAUUAACUGAUAUACAAGUGUAAGAACACUGUCCAACUUGUGGUGAUAGAGUGUGAUAACAUAACUUGGUGGUUUGGUUGUGUUUAUGUUGGUAGAUUUGUUUAUGUUAGCUGAUUCUUGAGUCCCCCACGCCAUUUGAGAAGCAUACUUUAUGUUACCUGCUUUUGUCGUCAUCUGAAAUCCACAUAUGGUUAAAUUUGUCUUUUGUGUUGUAUUUUAUGUAUGAUUGAACUACUUGGUGGUAAAAAGUUUGGCGGAUGUGUCUCAAAUCAAUUUCUCAAAUCUGAUAUGUGAUAGUAGUUGGCUACUAUGUAGUGCGAUGGUCACUUGAUAUUGCCUGUAACAGUGAUGUAUCCCUCCUUCCAUGUUAUAGUAGGCAUUCACAUUAUAUCUUCCCUUUGAUUGUAUUUGCUAGGUUUACUUGUGACAAUGAGACAAGGUCGGUGGUUCAAUAUUUUCUUGAAAAACAUAAAAUUGCGCUUCAAUUCACGUCAUUGCCUGCCCUUGAAGCUGGAACUGAAGAGAGGCGCAUUUAUUUGCCAAUGGAGGUUCUAUGAUCAAAAGACUACUUUCGUUCUUUGUGUCUGGAAAAUAAUUUAUUUAAGACUUAUUUAUAGAAUAUUUUUGUUUACAGCUUUCUAGGAUACUCGAGGGACAGAGAUAUACUAAAAGAUUAAAUGAAAGACAAGUAACUGCUCUUUUAAGAGCAACCUGUCAGCGUCCUCAGGAUCGUGAAGCAAAUAUACACAUGGUAGAGCAUUGUUGUAAUUUCUUACAUCUGUGGUGGAUCUUUUUUGGAUGAUUAAUCUGGGAGCUAUCUUCUUGUGAACAAAGAGAGUUUCUGAUUCUUGCUUCUGGGUUUGACAUUCUUCUGCAGAUGGCUAGGGAAAAUGCUUACAAUGAAGAUACUCUUGUGAACAGAGAGUUUGGAAUUCAAGUGGUUGAUGGUCUUACAUCGGUUAAUGCUCGAAUCCUACCUGCUCCAAUGGUAAUUAUGUGUCAUUUUGUUUUAUUUGUAACAGGAUUAUGGUACUUCCAAUCUCCUUAUGCUUAACUUUACCUCCUGUAAUGCUGCAGCUUAAAUAUCAUGAAACUGGCCCAGAAGCAAGCGUGAAUCCUGAUUUUGGGCAAUGGAACAUGAUUAACAAGGUGAAUUACUGAUUAUUAUUUUAUUCUGUAGCUGUUGAUUUGUGCUUAGAAAGAGCAUAGGGAAGCAGUUUCCACUUGUUUAAAUUGGUUGAGGGAUGUUUAUUGACUGAUGGGUAGGAUGGGUUGGAAGUUGAUUUGCUACAUUUGAUGCAAUGUGGAUGUGCUGCAUUUCCUUUGCAACCAUUAUUUUUUUAUUUUUUUUUUCAUUUUAGCAUGCUGUAAUUUCUAUUUAGUUAUAUACUUUUUCAUCUUUGACAAGCAUUGUAUCUGAUAUUCACUUAGGUAUUUGGAUUGUAUGUGCUUGGUGUUCAGCUCAAUCCACUUUGCCUUCUGAAGGAGAAGCUUUUAUUUGUUUACACUGAAUUAUUUUGUGUAAUUUUGGUUGUACAGAAAAUGUUCAAUGGUGGGACAGUGCAAGUUUGGACUUGUAUGAACUUCUCAACGUGUUUGAACCAGGAUGUGAUCGGGUUCUGUCAACGGUUGGUAGAUAUGUGCAAUAGAAAGGGAAUGGUAUGGUAAUGUUAAUGGUAUGGUAAUGUUAUUUGUUUUGCAAUUCAUGUUAGCAAUUUAGGUUAAUGGUCUCUCUGAACCGACUUUUUUCUUUUGGGGGGUCUGUGUUUAUCAUGCCAGGUAUUUAACCGGCGGCCUGUCAUUCCCAUAAGUUCAUACAACCCAUAUCAAAUUGAGAAGGCACUUGUAGACGUUCACAAUAAGACUACACAGCCAGGGAAACAGCUUGAGCUGUUGAUAAUUAUUUUACCAGAUGUUCGCGGAUCAUAUGGUGAGUGAUAAAUUUAAUCAAGGAUUAAACUUUAAUGUCAGCUUUGGUUUUGUUCAACAUUAUCGGCUUUCUGCUCGCAGGAAGAAUUAAGCGAGUUUGUGAAACGGAACUUGGGAUUGUUUCACAAUGCUGUCAGCCUAAGCACGCAUCCAGUCGCAACAUGCAGUAUUUUGAAAAUGUGGCUCUUAAAAUCAAUGUGAAGGUUUGCUUUGCCCCCAUUUUUUUGCGUGUUCAUUAUCAUGGUUAAUAUUUGAGAACCAAUACAAGGGUUGGCAGGAAAACAUGUAGGAGACGAAUUUUUUUUUUUUUUUUGGCAAUUUAAUUUCAGUCUUGAUUUGCUGUAAUUAUUGUAAUUUUUUUUUUCAAAUAAUCAAAUUCUGAUGUUCAAGAUAUUUUUAUAAGUGUUUGGGAGUGCCAAAAUUUCUUGUUAAAAUUGAUAGGUUUGCUUAUUGGUACUGGAGAUUCAGUUUGCUAUUUGUAAUUUUAUCAGGUUGGAGGACGAAACACUGUGCUCGAUGAUGCUGUUCAGAAAAGAAUUCCUCUUGUGACUGAUAGACCUACAAUUAUAUUUGGUGCAGAUGUCACCCAUCCACAACCAGGAGAAGACUCUAGCCCUUCAAUAGUGGCCGUAUGUGCACUCAUUUUCUGUUUCUGCUUUCUAGUAAUUCACUCUGUUGAAAGAUUGAAUUGACUGAGACAGGUGGUGGCCUCAAUGGAUUGGCCAGAAGUAACCAAGUACAGAGGACUUGUCUCUGCUCAGGCACAUAAUGAGGAAAUUAU
Molecule: long non-coding RNA, 24432 nt
Filed under: Citrus maxima (pomelo)
Lineage: Eukaryota; Viridiplantae; Streptophyta; Magnoliopsida; Sapindales; Rutaceae
Description: long non-coding RNA (CMAX_LNC003504)
Source: RNAcentral